RNAcentral lists this ribosomal RNA (500 nucleotides) under Fusarium oxysporum. Its description in RNAcentral is "eukaryotic LSU rRNA". The stretch from base 135 to 288 matches the Rfam family "5.8S ribosomal RNA". Lineage: Eukaryota; Fungi; Ascomycota; Sordariomycetes; Hypocreales; Nectriaceae. The record is from RNAcentral.
CUCCAACCCCUGUGACAUACCACUUGUUGCCUCGGCGGAUCAGCCCGCUCCCGGUAAAACGGGACGGCCCGCCAGAGGACCCCUAAAACUCUGUUUCUAUAUGUAACUUCUGAGUAAAACCAUAAAUAAAUCAAAACUUUCAACAACGGAUCUCUUGGUUCUGGCAUCGAUGAAGAACGCAGCAAAAUGCGAUAAGUAAUGUGAAUUGCAGAAUUCAGUGAAUCAUCGAAUCUUUGAACGCACAUUGCGCCCGCCAGUAUUCUGGCGGGCAUGCCUGUUCGAGCGUCAUUUCAACCCUCAAGCACAGCUUGGUGUUGGGACUCGCGUUAAUUCGCGUUCCUCAAAUUGAUUGGCGGUCACGUCGAGCUUCCAUAGCGUAGUAGUAAAACCCUCGUUACUGGUAAUCGUCGCGGCCACGCCGUUAAACCCCAACUUCUGAAUGUUGACCUCGGAUCAGGUAGGAAUACCCGCUGAACUUAAGCAUAUCAAUAAGCGGAGGA